ACUGCUCAGUAACACGUGGAUAACCUGCCCUUGGGUCCGGCAUAACCCCGGGAAACUGGGGAUAAUUCCGGAUAACGCACAUAUGCUGGAAUGCUUUAUGCGUAAAAUGGAUUCGUCUGCCCAAGGAUGGGUCUGCGGCCUAUCAGGUAGUAGUGGGUGUAAUGUACCUCCUAGCCAACAACGGGUACGGGUUGUGAGAGCAAGAGCCCGGAGAUGGAUUCUGAGACAUGAAUCCAGGCCCUACGGGGCGCAGCAGGCGCGAAAACUUUACAAUGCGGGAAACCGUGAUAAGGGGACACCGAGUGCCAGCAUCAUAUGCUGGCUGUCCAGGUGUGUAAACUACACCUGUUAGCAAGGGCCGGGCAAGACCGGUGCCAGCCGCCGCGGUAACACCGGCGGCCCGAGUGGUGAUCGUGAUUAUUGGGUCUAAAGGGUCCGUAGCCGGUUUGGUCAGUCCUCCGGGAAAUCUGAUAGCUCAACUAUUAGGCUUUCGGGGGAUACUGCCAGGCUUGGAACCGGGAGAGGUAAGAGGUACUACAGGGGUAGGAGUGAAAUCUUGUAAUCCCUGUGGGACCACCUGUGGCGAAGGCGUCUUACCAGAACGGGUUCGACGGUGAGGGACGAAAGCUGGGGGCACGAACCGGAUUAGAUACCCGGGUAGUCCCAGCCGUAAACGAUGCUCGCUAGGUGUCAGGCAUGGCGCGACCGUGUCUGGUGCCGCAGGGAAGCCGUGAAGCGAGCCACCUGGGAAGUACGGCCGCAAGGCUGAAACUUAAAGGAUUGGCGGGGGAGCACA
This 796-nucleotide ribosomal RNA is filed under the name uncultured archaeon. RNAcentral describes it as "bacterial SSU rRNA". It matches the Rfam family "Archaeal small subunit ribosomal RNA", at positions 85 to 880 of the family's 1478-position model. The record is from RNAcentral.